GAUGAAGAACGUAGCGAUAUGCGAUACGUAAUGUGAAUUGCAAAUUCAGUGAAUCAUCGAGUCUUUGAACGCACAUUGCGCCCCCUGGUAUUCCGGGGGGCAUGCCUGUCCGAGCGUCAUUGCUGCCCUCAAGCACGGCUUGUGUGUUGGGCCCCGUCCUCCGAUCCCGGGGGACGGGCCCGAAAGGCAGCGGCGGCACCGCGUCCGGUCCUCGAGCGUAUGGGGCUUUGUCACCCGCUCUGUAGGCCCGGCCGGCGCUUGCCGAUCAACCCAAAUUUUUUAUCCAGGUUGACCUCGGAUCAGGUAGGGAUACCCGCUGAACUUAAGCAUAUCAAUAAGCGGAGGA
This 346-nucleotide unclassified non-coding RNA is filed under the name soil metagenome. RNAcentral's name for it is "partial contains 5.8S ribosomal RNA, internal transcribed spacer 2, and large subunit ribosomal RNA". The stretch from base 1 to 119 matches the Rfam family "5.8S ribosomal RNA", at positions 35 to 154 of the family's 154-position model. The record is from RNAcentral.